CAGGAAAAUGUUAAUUAAUCUUGACCAAAGAUAAAAGUCUGGUUAUAGCAAUUUCAUAUUUAACCAUUAAUAGCAUCUAAAAGGUUAAUAUAAUUUUUAGGCAGAGGAGGUCUGUCACUUAAGGUGCUACCCACAAGCUUAUAGGACAGGAUAUGAAAGGACUAAAGUUCCUUGUCAUUACAUUAAAACCUGUAUUAUCAAUGUUCCAAAUUCUAAAUUCUAGUCUGUGAAAACAAUGGCAGAAACAUUUUGACAAUUUCAAUGCAAAAAAAGUUGUAGAGCUGAGUCCUAAGGACUUUAUCUGUAAAACAGAAGCCCUUUGCUAAAUGACCUAGAUUUAUCAUCAAGAUUAGUUUUGAAAUACUUAAAUGAAUGUGGUUGCUUCUAGGAAAGUACUGACGAGUACAAGGAAACAAAUCUUGAAAUGUAGAUGGCACACACCUUCAGUGUUUUUCCCCUCCCUACUCAUCAUAUAUCCUAAUUCCCAUCAGCACCUGCUGACAGAUGCUGGCAUAGCGAGCCAGAGCAUUGGCAUUUUCUUGGAUAGCAAGGCUGGAGGGACACUGGUCAGCGAUCCUCAACACAGCACGCCACUUCCCAAAGUCAACUCCGUCUUUCUUGUACUGAGCACAGCGUUCAGAGAGGCCAUCAAGUCCUGCAAGUCACAACAGAAAGAGGGGAGGGGCUUCUUUGUACCUUGUGCCUAGUCCCUGGGGUUUCUUAUUUAGUAAAGGACUUUUCCAGUG
Molecule: long non-coding RNA, 746 nt
Organism: Mastomys coucha (southern multimammate mouse)
Lineage: Eukaryota; Metazoa; Chordata; Mammalia; Rodentia; Muridae
Exons: 3
Source: RefSeq, a predicted model, not a curated record